AUGGAUUGGCGUGGCCGAGGGGUCAGCAUGGCCGAUGGGUUGGCGCGGCCAAGGGGCCAAGGGGUGGUCAAGGGGUCGGCACGGCCGAUGGGUUGGCGUGGCCGAGGGCUUGGCAUGGCCAAGGGCCAAGGGUGCUCAAAGGGUCAGCACGGCUGGGGGUCAGUGUGGCUGGGGGUCAGUGUGGCUGGGGGUCAGUGUGGCUCAGGGGUCCAUGGUCUGAGGACUGACCAAGAGUUUGGCACAGCCAGUGGCUUGGCAUGGCCAAAGGGUCAGUGUGGUCAAGGGGCCAGCCUGGCCAAUGGGUUGGCGUGGCCAAAGCACGGCCAGGGUGUUGGCACGGCCAAUGGCUUGGUGUGGCCGAGGGGUUGGUGUGGCCGAGGGGUCAGUGUAGCCAAGGGGUCAAUGUGGCUGAGGGGUCAGUGUGACCCCGGGAUUGGCAUGGCCGAGGGGUCGGUGUGGCCGAGGGGUCGGCACAGCCGAUGGGUUGGCGUGGCCGAGGGGUUGGUGUGGCCCCAGGAUUGGCAUGGCCGAGGGGUCAGUGUGUCCAAGGGGUCGGUGUGGCCGAGGGGUCGGUGUGACCCCAGGAUUGGCAUGGCCAAGGGGUUGGCGUGGCCAAAGGUUUGGCAUGGCCGAUGCGUCGUUGUGACCGAGGGGUCAGUGGGACCCGGGGGUUGGCAGAGCCGGGGGGUGACCGAGGGGUCAGCACGGCCGAGGGGUUGGUGUGGCCAAGGGGUCACCGGGACCGGGGUCAGCACGGCCGAGGGGUUGGCGUGGCCGAGGGGUCGGUGGGAUCAGGGUCAGCAUGGCCGAUGGGUUGGCGUGGCCGAGGGGUCACCGGGACCGGGGUCAGCAUGGCCGAUGGGUUGGCGUGGCCAAGGGGUCACCGGGACCGGGGUCAGUGCGGCCGAUGGGUUGGCGUGGCCAAGGGGUCACCGGGACCGGGGUCAGCACGGCCGAGGGGUUGGCGUGGCCGAGGGGUCACUGAGACCGGGGUCAGCGCAGCCGAGGGGCCGGGCCGGGGUCAGGGGUCACUGGGACCGGGGUCAGCGCGGCCGAGGGGCCGGGCCGGGGUCAGGGGUCACUGGGACCGGGGUCAGCGCGGCCGAGGGGUCACUGGGACCGGGGUCAGCGCGGCCGAGGGGCCGGGCCGGGGUCAGGGGUCACUGGGACCGGGGUCAGCGCGGCCGAGGGGCCGGGCUGGGGUCAGGGGUCAGCUGGGCUCCCGCUCUGCCUUCUCCCGGAUGGCUUUUCCAAAGGCGAGGUGGCCCUGCCUCUGCGGAUGUCCGGAGCGGGGACGGGAGCCGGGGACACCGGGAAUCACCGGGAAGGGACGGCAGCGCUUCGGGAACGGCCACGGCACCGGACC
This 1366-nucleotide long non-coding RNA is filed under the name Lonchura striata (white-rumped munia). RNAcentral describes it as "domestica (Bengalese finch) lncRNA (ENSLSDG00000000310.1)". Lineage: Eukaryota; Metazoa; Chordata; Aves; Passeriformes; Estrildidae. The record is from RNAcentral.